UUUUUUUGUUUUGUUUUGUGUUUCACCUAGUUCACCCACUGAGAAUGCUGACUUUUGGAUGUCCAAGUUUUUUUCAGAAGUCCAACCUCCCAUCUGGUGUGUGCUGAGGAUUUUUGUUCUAUCCCCAUUUGUUAAGGCCCAUCAAGUCCAAAUUCUAAGCCAGUAGAUGUUAGCCAGCAUUGGUCCAGUGCAUGCUUCUCUGCAUGCAUGUUUUCUAGUGACUUUUGUACCAGCAGGAUUUCUCAGGUCACACAGUCCUCCACACUGACAGAAACAGAGGUCCUCUGUUGUCAUCCAUCCUCUGGAUGUCAUUGUGUGACAUUCCUCUGGAUGUCUUCCCUAAGCUACAUUUUUCAGGCUUAAUUUGGUGCUCCAACUUUCCCAAGAUUAAUUAGCCCAGGGGUAAGAAAAAUAACGACUAUUAAAAGAAAGAGGAAAUACAAUAGAAUCCAGUGAAAUAGGAAGGUGAUUUAUGAACUCUAAAGUCAGGAUAUUAGAAGUCCAGACUUAUAUUUUUAACUCAAUCCUCCUUGGCAGUGGGGCUUUUAAGAAGUUAUCCCAGAACCAGUUGCUACAAACUUUGGUGGAGUUUGAGAAAGCAUUUUUUCCCCUCUAGCCCUGUGAAGGGAGCCACUCCCAGGGGUUGUCAGCAGGGCAAUUGUGUAGCAAGAACCAAAUUACUUCUUUCAUUCUUAAGAACCUCCUCCCAAUUUUCCAGUGGGAAAACUGAGUUCUGAUUAGUUCUAAGGACAAGUCGGGAGGUUUUAAAGAUUUAAAAAAAAAUUGAGAUAGUACACGUGAGCGGAGAUUGGGGGGUGGGGACAGAAGGAGAGGGAGAAGGGGACUCCUUGCUGACAAGGAGAGAGAGUCUGACACAGAUCCUAGGACCCUCAGGUCAGGACCUGAGCCAAAGGCAGAUGCUUAACCGACUGAGCCACCCAGGAACCCCAGGUCAGGAGGUUUUAAACGUGUCAUCUUUCUUACUGGAUAUAGUCCUCUUCUUCCUGGACACUCUGAAGAUAUUAGCAAAGAUUUGGGUGCUCAGCUUAAGAUGCCUAACCUUAUCUAAUUCAUUUAAUGAAUGGCUCUUGAUUGUUUUCAGAAUCCAUGGAAAUAAUCACAUUUCUUAUUAACAUUCAUUUGCUGGUCAAGAAAUCAUCACUUAAAUGUGAAUCACUGCCAACCACUCUACUCUUUCAGGGACCAAAGAAAUAAAUGAGUGUGACAAGGAAAAAAGUCAGUUGGAUAAAAAUAUAGCAGAGUAACAAAAAAGCCAGCGUGAAUGUAAAGAAAGGUCAGGGGUGAGUGUGGGAGCUUAGCGCCUGCCGACCAUCCAUGGGUGGAUGGCAAUUUGCACCCCUUGGCUCGUAUUAUCCAUACAGAAGCCCAGGGAAGUGGGUGGUAUUAUUUCCAUGUUAUAGAUGAAGCCUCAGGCUUGGAGAGGUAAAAUAACUUUAAUAUCAUUAACAGAGGGAAAGGGCAGCCCGGAUGGCUCAGUGGUUUAGCGCCGCCUUCAGCCCAGGGUGUGAUCCUGGAGCCCAGGAUUAAGUCGCGUUGGGCUCCCUGCAUGGAGCCUGCUCCUCCCUCUGCCUAUGUCUCUGCCCCUCUCUCUCUCUCUCUCUCUGUGUUUCUCAUGAAUAAAUAAAUAAAAUAUACAUAUUAAAAAAAAAACAGAGGGAAAAUGUGGCAUCCUCUUGUUUCUCUGACAGCAGAGCAUAUUUUUUUUCCACCACAUUAUACCAUCUCUUAAGUGUUCAGUACCUUUUCCCACUAUAAUAAGAUUCUAGUGUUCCUGACCUGAAUGCAACACAGAUAUAGGAAGAAAGGAUCAUUGGGGACACCAAAUAUUCCAAAUGAUUGCCACUAGCAAUUUGUCUUUUUGUCUGUUGGUUCGAGUGCUGUCUGGAAGCUCAGAUGUAGAAAGACACAAGCAAUAUUUUAUGGAGGGCUUCCUUUCAGUCCCUUUGAUGGUAGUGUAUUGUAAACUCUAUUGAGAUCAAAUCUCCUUUGGGAGCUAAUUACAAUAAGACAUCUCUUUAUUUGGUAUAGUCAAGCUUUUCCUUACUAAGUCCACAGGACUAUGAAGGACAGCGGGACGUAACAAAGCAUCAGCAUCUGCUUCCUUAACAAUUUCUUCUUUAAUAAAGUCACGCAUGCCAAAUAUGUUUGUCUCAUUAUCACUCUCGAUACAGUAUGAUAUCAGUUUACCCAGGAAAGACUUUCAGCAUCCGGAAACCACAGAGGAAAUGAUGUCGUGGCACACACACGAUAUCUGAACAGCCACAAAGCAGAACAGCAGUUGAUAAAUGUGAUGAUUACUCAGUCCUCCACCAUGAGGAAGCAAUAUCAUUUGUUUGCUUUAUGUCAGCCACUCUAGAGAACCAUAACCACCCAAGAGGCAAUCCAAUGAUGGUCCUGUGACCACGGACAGAUCACGGCCAUGGCGCACCAUUAUCCUCUUGCACCUGAUUCAUCAUUCACAGCAUUUGCUCCGAUUCAGAAACAAACAGAACCAUUAUGGCGGUUAGCACUGAGGUGGUGGUUGUAAAAAAUUUAAUAAAUUCUGUGUUUUCAUUUUACACAUUGGUCUGGUUUUCAGGGGAAUGUGUGCUGGUGGGGAAAUAGUUUGCUUGUUGGAGGCAGAUGCGUGUUUGCUCUGAGGCAAGAGAUAAAGAGAAGUAUUUUAGGAAGGAGUCUGUAUGACUAGCAGUGGGGGAGAUAAUAUCGAUAAGUAUGAGCAGGGUCACUGAUAACUUUGUGGGCAAGUGACCCUUUGGAUAUGCCAAGAGAUUUUAUCAGCCAGAAAGACUGAGUCAUGUAUAUAUAAUUUUGGCUUGAAUUCAUUGGCUAUAGGGUGGAGGGUAGGGGUGGUGAUACAUAGAAACCAAAAGAGAGAGACGUGAACCCAGUUGAGAGUUUGGCCUGAGCCCCUUUCAGACACAUGCAUUUUCCCAGCUGACUUUUUGCACCCAGUGGCUCAUAAUCACAAUCACAUGUUAUCAACUUGCCUCAUAGACCCAUUUUUUCAGCCUAGAUCGUCAUGGCAGUGUCACAUCUCAAUACAGUGGCCAGAAAAGUGGUUCUUGCCCCUGGUUUGCUUAACCUGAGUAUCAUGGGGAACACUGUCUUCUGAAUUCUAGCUGUGUGAUCUGUGUUCCUAUUUAUAACCAUGUUUUAUCUUUCAGACCUGACACAACUAGUCUGAUUUGGACAUUUUGCUCCUGUUCACAAUGAAGAUUUUCCUUUAGACCUAAGCCCCAAGGUCAGCCCUGUGGUCAAACACACACCUUGUGUAGCUUAGUCCUUGAAUCAACCAUUAUACUGUGUAUGUAGUAAAGUUGAAUAAUGGUCUCCCAAUGAUACCACGCCCCAAUGCCUGGAAUUUACAAACAUCACCUUAUUGCCUUAUUUGGAAAAAAAAAAAAAAAAGGAAUCAUUGCAGAUGUGAUUCAGUUAAGGAUUUUAAAAUGCCAAGAUGACCCUGGAUUGUCUGGGUGGGCCCCAAAUGCCAUCACAAGUGUCUUUAUAAAAGACGGGCAAGAGAAGAUAAAACCAACACUCCAAAUGGGGAGGAGGCAGUGUGAGUGGAAAAGCUGAGGAUGGAGUGAAGUGGCCACAAACCAAGGAACGUCAGGAACCACCAGAAGCUGGGAGAGGCAAGGAAAGUUCUCCCCUAGAGCUGUCAGAGGGAGUAGGGUCCUGCUAACACCUUGAUUUUGGACUGCUGGCAUCCAGAACUGGAUUCAGAGAAUGUACAGAGACCAUUUCAAGCCAUCUAGUUUGUGGUCAUCUGUAACAGAAGCCCUGGGGUACACUGUGUCUAGCUCCUCAGUUACAUUAAGAUGGAUCCUCAGAUGCUGGAAUCCUCUGUUUAGUUCAUGCACCCCUAUCUAACAACACACCUUCCACCAUUCCUCCCAAAGGCUUGCCUAAUCUUAUAAAUCCAACUGAGAUUCAGAGGUCCUAUAUAAUGGGGACAGGAAUGUUUUGAGCAGCCUCCAGACUUCUAUCAAAUAGCUGGCAUUUUAUUGAAAGUAUUUUCAUGAAGGAAUAUUCUUUUUUAAGCCUGUUUUGCACUCUUUUGGAGCUUUGCCAUUUGCAAUAAUACCCUUAAAACCAAAAUACUGUUUUCACAUCAAAUUUUUCUUUCUUCUAUUUCAGCGAUUUGUUGAUGCAGGUGACGUGAGCUGCAUGGUUCAGGGGCUGCUUUAUGGAGGUAUACAGCACGUAAAUGAAGAUGCAUAUCAUCUUAGCUAUUUUGGUUUAUUGGUGGCAGCACAUGGUUAUUUUCUGGAGACUCCCAACUCUUGACUUUCCCAAGUUUUUCCUUAAUGAAUGGAAGCAUGCUUUGUGAAUGAUCUGUAUUUCCCUAUAAUGUAAGAGUACUCAGAGACUACAAUAAGGAAAUGAUGAACAUUUGACAGGUAUUUCAGAAGAUCUCGAUCUUGUCUAAAAGCUAUGGUGAUGAGUGGCAGGAACACUUACCCAUCUUGGCUCUGCCACUAACCAGGCUGAGGACUUGAACAAAGUUUUUUUCACCUCUCUGGACUUCAACCUCUGCACUGUUAAAAACUAGGCUAAUGUGACCUACCUCAUAGCCUUGUUAAGAGAACUGGAAUGGCUUCAACUAGUUUUACCUGAAUACCCUGAAAGGCUCUCAAGUUAAAGGCUCUCAAGUUCACUAGAGUCCAAAUAUAACUCAUUGUCACCAUACAUCAAAGCUGUUCCUCCGAAUCCACACUCCCUCAGCCCCAUGCCUUCUAAGAUGUAUUCCUGACUUUUGCUCCUCUUUUAUACCCAGCCACCUUUCCCAGAGUCGAGUUAAAUUCAUGACCAAGUACUAUUACUUCUCAACUAUGCCCCUUUGCUUCUUUUAUUUUUUUGAAGAUAGCCGUAAGUCAAGACUUCAGAACCGCCUGCCUGGACCACUAAAGAGUCUCUGAGUGGGUCUCCUCAUGGGCAUCAUCUAUCACCAACAACACCAACCAUCUGAACUGUCUCUCUAGAGUUCAGAUCUGACCAUGCCUUCUCUCGGUCUAUCUUCUUCCACAGCCCCUCUGCGUUACCAGAGGAUGCACCCAAACAGUGUUCUCUGGCUUGCACAAUACAUCAUCAUUUUCAAUCUUACUGGCCGAGAUGAAAAAUGUGGAGAUUUUACAUAUACAUCUGGAUUUCUGCAUUUUCACGAAAGACGAGAGGGUCUGCAAAGCCUGGAUAACCUACAUGAGCUGAGAUGCUGUUAUGGUCUUUAGCUGUGGCUUAUUCUUUCCUGUUUUCCCUAUCCUGGUUACCUGGUCUGAUUCACUCAUUGGCCUUAUCUGCCUGGCACCUGUAGGUGGACCCAUAGGAUAAAGCCUAGACACCUGCAUGCCCCUUCCUUGGACUACUUUUACAGUCACAUCUC
RNAcentral lists this long non-coding RNA (5404 nucleotides) under Canis lupus familiaris (dog). RNAcentral describes it as "lncRNA (ENSCAFG00000052551.1)". Lineage: Eukaryota; Metazoa; Chordata; Mammalia; Carnivora; Canidae. The record is from RNAcentral.